RNAcentral lists this ribosomal RNA (430 nucleotides) under uncultured bacterium. Its description in RNAcentral is "bacterial SSU rRNA". It matches the Rfam family "Bacterial small subunit ribosomal RNA", at positions 355 to 776 of the family's 1533-position model. The record is from RNAcentral.
UGGGGAAUUUUGCGCAAUGGGGGAAACCCUGACGCAGCAACGCCGCGUGAGUGAUGAAGGCCUUCGGGUCGUAAAGCUCUGUCAGUGGGAAAGAAGUGUAAGGGUGCUAAAAUCAUCUUUACUUGACGGUACCCACAAAGGAAGCACCGGCUAACUCCGUGCCAGCAGCCGCGGUAAUACGGAGGGUGCGAGCGUUGUUCGGAAUUAUUGGGCGUAAAGCGCGUGUAGGCGGCUCCUUAAGUCUGAUGUGAAAGCCCCGGGCUCAACCUGGGAAGUGCAUUGGAAACUGGGGAACUUGAAUACGGGAGAGGGUAGUGGAAUUCCUGGUGUAGGAGUGAAAUCCGUAGAUAUCAGGAGGAACACCGGUGGCGAAGGCGGCUACCUGGACCGAUAUUGACGCUGAGACGCGAAAGCGUGGGGAGCAAACAGG